Molecule: ribosomal RNA, 553 nt
Filed under: uncultured bacterium
Lineage: Bacteria
Description: bacterial SSU rRNA
Rfam family: Bacterial small subunit ribosomal RNA
Source: RNAcentral
UACGGGAGGCUGCAGUCGAGAAUCUUCCGCAAUGCCCGAAAGGGUGACGGAGCGACGCCGCGUGUGGGAAGAAGGCCUUCGGGUUGUAAAGCACUGUCAGGGAAGUAGGAAAUCCCGUAGGGUUAAUAGCGCACUUGCUUGACUAAGGCUCCAGAGGAAGCACCGGCUAAAUCCGUGCCAGCAGCCGCGGUAAUACGGAUGGUGCAAGCGUUAUUCGGAAUCACUGGGCAUAAAGAGCACGUAGGUGGCUGCGUAAGUCAGUGGUGAAAUCCCUCGGCUCAACCGAGGAACUGCCAUUGAUACUGCAGGGCUUGAGUACGGGAGGGGAGAGUGGAAUUCCAGGUGGAGCGGUGAAAUUGCAGAUAUCUGGAGGAACGCCGGAGGCGAAAGCGGUCUGCUGGCCCACGACUGACGCUGAAUGUGCGAAAGCUAGGGGAGCAAACAGGAUUAGAUACCCUGGUAGUCCUAGCCGUAAACGAUGGGCACUAAGUAGAGGGGCUCCCAUUAUUUCUCUGCCGUAGCUAAUGCAUUAAGUGCCCCGCCUGGGGAGUAU